CCUACGGGAGGCAGCAGUGAGGAAUAUUGGUCACUGGACGAGAGUCUGAACCAGCCAAGUAGCGUGAAGGAUGACUGCCCUAUGGGUUGUAAACUUCUUUUAUAAAGGAAUAAAACGAGGCACGUGUGCCUUUUUGCAUGUACUUUAUGAAUAAGGAUCGGCUAACUCCGUGCCAGCAGCCGCGGUAAUACGGAGGAUCCGAGCGUUAUCCGGAUUUAUUGGGUUUAAAGGGAGCGUAGAUGGGUUGUUAAGUCAGUUGUGAAAGUUUGCGGCUCAACCGUAAAAUUGCAAUUGAUACUGGCAGUCGUGAGUACAGUUGAGGUAGGCGGAAUUCGUGGUGUAGCGGUGAAAUGCUUAGAUAUCACGAAGAACCCCGAUUGCGAAGGCAGCUUACUAAACUGUGACUGACAUUGAUGCUCGAAAGUGUGGGUAUCAAACAGGAUUAGAUACCCGAGUAGUC
Molecule: ribosomal RNA, 460 nt
Filed under: uncultured bacterium
Lineage: Bacteria
Description: partial 16S ribosomal RNA
Rfam family: Bacterial small subunit ribosomal RNA
Source: RNAcentral